UCAUGUUGACUUGAAUCUGGUGGUAUGUCUACCAUCUUUUCCUUACCUUUGCUUUAUUUCUUUUUUGGUCUUGUUGUAUGUGAUGUGAGCAUUUGUCUAACUUCCACACUUGUAGCCGAGGGAUGAGAAUGAAGAGGAUGAUGUUGAGAACAUCAAGUUACCCACUGUGGUGGAGGAGAUCAACGAUUGGUAACUAUUCUUCCUACAUGUUUCACUUGUCAUACGAUACCAAAUAUUAUUUAUGUGAAUGUUGCUUAUUUUACUUGUAGACAUUCAUCAUGUGGAUGUUGAUCUUGCUAUUUUGGAGAUGAAUGUCAAAGUGAUCUUUCUCAUGUGAAGGCUACUUUUGCAUUUCUGUUAUGUUGAAACCUUUCAAGUCAUUAACUAUGAAUUGUCACUGCUAGCUUGGAGAUGAACCUCUCAUCUGUGCUAUGUUUAACUUGUCAAUUGACAUGGACUUGGAAUUGUCAUUGCAAGUUUGUAAUCGUGUCGUUCAAUGAUGAUAAGACCUUCUGUUUGUGGAUGUGAUAUUUGUGCUUAACCUGAUUUGUGCCAUCUUUCCUGUCAAUAUCAGUUUGUG
RNAcentral lists this long non-coding RNA (580 nucleotides) under Triticum aestivum (bread wheat). RNAcentral's name for it is "long non-coding RNA (TAES_LNC012727)". The record is from RNAcentral. Lineage: Eukaryota; Viridiplantae; Streptophyta; Magnoliopsida; Poales; Poaceae.